RNAcentral lists this unclassified non-coding RNA (283 nucleotides) under fungal sp. Its description in RNAcentral is "partial internal transcribed spacer region". The stretch from base 1 to 46 matches the Rfam family "Eukaryotic small subunit ribosomal RNA", at positions 1786 to 1831 of the family's 1831-position model. Lineage: Eukaryota; Fungi. The record is from RNAcentral.
AAGUCGUAACAAGGUUGCCGUAGGUGAACCUGCGGCAGGAUCAUUACUGAUCAAAACAAAAAGUCGAAUUUUUCUUUCUUUCUUUCUUUCGAGAUGGAGCGAGAGAGAUUCGCAACUCGCUUGGUGUGUGGAGAAAAACCCUUUUUUCGUCUUUUCCGUACGAAGAAGGGUCUUCUCUGUGUGGGAAAGUUUUGUCUCACGUACGAAGCUUUUUCCCAACCAGGCACCCACAACAAACCAAACAAACAAAAUAUCGCACCUUCGGUGGAUCACUCGGCUGGUG